RNAcentral lists this long non-coding RNA (396 nucleotides) under Vigna radiata. RNAcentral describes it as "long non-coding RNA (VRAD_LNC016743)". The record is from RNAcentral. Lineage: Eukaryota; Viridiplantae; Streptophyta; Magnoliopsida; Fabales; Fabaceae.
UUUCCUUGUUUUGUUAAUUGUCAAUUAAUUCGCCAUUAAGGCAAGAUCACAAUAAUAUUACAAUGUGUGUAUAUAAAUACGCACUUUAAAGAGAAGAAGAGGGGAGAGGAGAAAAAUCCAAUUUCAGAAAGAGAACAUAAGGGAACAAAAAAAAAGGAGUGGGGCAAAGAGGCACGUGCACAGAUGAAUGAACAACUUUCUGUGGAAGCUUUUUGUGGUGUAGUGGAGGACCUUUAAGGCAGCUUCAGAAGGGUGGAGAUCAAUUUCCUAGUUAUAUUUCCUUUCCCAUUCUUAUUGGACUUUUUGUUUUCAUUUUAUUUUCUUUUCUUUUAUUUCUUUGGUUUUUGUAUAUUGUUUUAUUAUUGAUGGUUUGUUGUACUCGUUUUUUAAUAAAAG